GACGUAGGGUCCGAGCGUUGUCCGGAAUCAUUGGGCGUAAAGAGCGUGUAGGCGGCCCGGUAAGUCCGCUGUGAAAGUCGGGGGCUCAACCCUCGAAUGCCGGUGGAUACUGUCGGGCUAGAGUGCGGAAGAGGCGAGUGGAAUUCCUGGUGUAGCGGUGAAAUGCGCAGAUAUCAGGAGGAACACCAACGGCGAAGGCAGCUCGCUGGGACGUUACUGACGCUAAGGCGCGAAAGCGUGGGGAGCGAACAGG
Molecule: ribosomal RNA, 253 nt
Filed under: uncultured bacterium
Lineage: Bacteria
Description: partial 16S ribosomal RNA
Rfam family: Bacterial small subunit ribosomal RNA
Source: RNAcentral